AGCGUGAUAAAUUGCCCUUUAAUUGUGGGCCUGUACGAACGGAUAUACGAGAGUAAGACUGUCUACUUCUAUAAAAAUGAAAAUUGCUACCCAAGUGAAAACGCUUGGAUAAAUCCAAAGGACAAAAAGACCCCGUAGAGCUUAGAUUUCCUACAAACUAAAACUACUUAUUUAUAAAACUUUUUAUUUAAUAACGAAACCUUAACUGGGGCGGUUAAGGAAGAAUAAAUCUUCCUCUAUUAUAAUUACUGGCCUACACGCCACCCUCAUGACCCUAAUACUUUAGAUCAAAGGAAAAGCUACCUCGGGGAUAACAGACUAAUCUUUCUUAAGAGUUCACAUUGACAGAAAGGUUUGGCACCUCGAUGUUGGCUUAGGGUACCCAAUAGGUAGCAGCAGCCCUUAAUGGUAGGUUUGUUCAACCUUUAAAAC
Molecule: ribosomal RNA, 432 nt
Filed under: Samytha sp. 182-Ifr-0688
Lineage: Eukaryota; Metazoa; Annelida; Polychaeta; Terebellida; Ampharetidae
Description: partial 16S ribosomal RNA
Rfam family: Bacterial large subunit ribosomal RNA
Source: RNAcentral